AUAUAUAAAGUAAAAUUUUACAUUUAAUUUCGACUUAAAUUUUGAUUAUAUUAUUAAUCUAUAUAUU
This 67-nucleotide transfer RNA is filed under the name Thyreus decorus. RNAcentral's name for it is "tRNA-Arg". The record is from RNAcentral. Lineage: Eukaryota; Metazoa; Arthropoda; Insecta; Hymenoptera; Apidae.